UAGUAACUGCGAGUGAAGCGGGAAAAGCUCAAAUUUAAAAUCUGGCAGCAUUUAGCUGUCCGAAUUGUGACCUCGAGAAGUGAUGCCCGCGCUGGACCAUGCACAAGUCUCCUGGGAUGGAGCNUCGNAGANGGUGAGAAUCCCGUCCNUGGCAUGGAUCGCCAGCGCAGUGUGGUUCGCUCUCAAAGAGUUGAGUUGUUUGGGAAUGCAGCUCGAAAUGGGUGGUAAAUUCCAUCUAAAGCUAAAUACGGGCGAAAGACCGAUAGCGAACAAGUACCGUGAGGGAAAGAUGAAAAGAACUUUGGAAAGAGAGUUAAACAGUACGUGAAAUUGUUGAAAGGGAAACGCUUGAAGUCAGUCGCGUUGUUCGGGGAUCAGUCUGGGUAAAUUUACCCGGAUGCAUUUCCUGUUGCAACGGGUCAUCAUGAGUUUUGACCACUGGAGAAAGGCAUGGGGAAUGUGACACCCUNNGGGGUGUGUUAUAGCUCCGGGUCGCAUGCAGUGGUUGGGACUGAGGGUCGCAGCGCGCCGCAAGGGCAGGGUUUCGACGACUUUCGCGCUUUGGAUGAUGGCAAAAUGGCUUCAAGCGACCCGUCUUGAAACACGGACCAAGGAGUCCAACAUGCAUGCGAGUGUUUGGGUGGAAAACCCGUGCGCGCAAUGAAAGUGAAAGUUGAGAACCCCGAAUGGGGGGCAUCGACGCCCGGACCAGAACUAAUUGGGACGGAUCCGCGGUGGAGCAUGCAUGGUGGGACCCGAAAGAUGGUGAACUAUGCCUGAAGAGGGNGAAGCCAGAGGAAACUCUGGUGGAGGCUCGCAGCGAUUCUGACGUGCAAAUCGAUCGUCGAAUUUGGGCAUAGGGGCG
RNAcentral lists this ribosomal RNA (865 nucleotides) under Amanita roanokensis. Its description in RNAcentral is "LSU rRNA". It matches the Rfam family "Eukaryotic large subunit ribosomal RNA", at positions 81 to 925 of the family's 3401-position model. The record is from RNAcentral. Lineage: Eukaryota; Fungi; Basidiomycota; Agaricomycetes; Agaricales; Amanitaceae.